CUGCGGGCGAGUCAUCGCCUGGAGCAGAAGUCAGCCGAGGUCAUAGUAGGCAGGGAACGAGCCAUCUCCUGAAGCAAAGGGUAAAGAUGGAGGCCUCACAGACACGCCGAAGGAC
This is a non-coding RNA of Sphingobacteriales bacterium 50-39, 115 nucleotides long. NCBI's taxonomy places the organism in Bacteria, Pseudomonadati, Bacteroidota, Sphingobacteriia, Sphingobacteriales. The record is from Rfam.